This 1494-nucleotide long non-coding RNA is filed under the name Malus domestica (apple). RNAcentral describes it as "long non-coding RNA (MDOM_LNC007005)". The record is from RNAcentral. Lineage: Eukaryota; Viridiplantae; Streptophyta; Magnoliopsida; Rosales; Rosaceae.
UCUCUCUCACCCUCUCGAACACACGGGCAACCAUCAAAACCACCUAAAACUAUUACCAACGCCGGAUUUAAAACCACCAUUGCACUCCUGAGGACUCCACGAUCACGAUGGUAUCCAUUUCAGGUAAGUUUUGCUUCGGAAAACCCUAGUUUCAAAGUUCCCGUGAAAUGGUACUGUUCAUGAUCUUCUAAAUGACUACGUUUUAGGCUAAAACAAGAUCACAGCGAUCUUAGUGAGGUCCCAAGGAAGCUCGGAGUGCUUCGUUGGAAGUUUUUGGACGUAAGAACACGGAGAUCGACAAGUUCAAAGUUUGGCCGGAACUUUCGAGGCAUUUUCCGGCGAAUCCCCGGCGAGUUAGGAGUCGAGGUAGGUAUCAAUCUCUUCGUCUCGUCAAGUACUACAACUUUCCUUUUUGUUUCACUCAAUUUCGUUGAGUAUUGAAGAAGUUAUACUCAUUUGAAAAAUACCCAGUUUCCGGCGACCUCCGAGGCUUUCGAGGCAGUUUCCGGCCAAAACACGGCGAACUAGGUGUUUUGCAAGGUAUUAUUCUCUUUGUCUCUUCAAGGGCUACAACUUUCGUUUUUUGAAUCACUUGAUUUCGUUGAGAAAUGACAAAGUUAUGGCAAUUUGAAAAACGGCCGCCGGAAAAACCAGUCCGGCGACCCAAGGAAGAAGAUGAUGCGCGUGGGGGCGCGUGGGCCGUGCUUGUCUUGGCGCGUGGGGGCGCGUGCUACAGUAAAAAAAUUAUUUUAAAAAUAUGUCGACGUCCGUGACGUCGAGUAGAUCACUGUGGUAUAUUCAUAUACCUAAAUUGAACACCGUAUGAGAAAGUUAUUAAGGAUUGUUGGUUAGGUGUUCGAAUAACGUUUUAUAGUUUUCACAUUUAGGUAAAAAUGUGAAUUGACGAUCCGACCGUUGGAUCGUUACCAAACUUUGAUACGUUGUAAUACGUAAUAUUUGAGGAUUAUUGGAACUUACGGAUUGAGAAUCCGAGUUACAGAUCUUCCGGAAUUGGAAUUGUAAGUCCAUAAUAUAAAAUGUUAACCGUCACUUAGUUUUGGAAAUUGACGGAGAUCCGACCGUUGGAUGGUAAUGAAAUUUUAGGAGGUUAUCCUAGAGAUAUAUUGUGGACCUCUGGAAGUUAUGGAUUUAAAAUCUGAGUGGCAGAUCUUCCGGAUCGAUCUACGUAGGGACGUAUUUUAUAUAAGUUAUAUAUUCUAUCGAUAUGAAUUCUAAGGUUGGAUUUGAUUACUGUUCUAGGCGGCGAUCGUCAUGACGCCUUGAUGUGUGGUGCUAGGGAGUUGUUGGACGAACUCCAGGUGAGUGGGCAGUUUUGUUUUCCGUAUAUAUAUAUACUUGACAUUUCCCAGAAAUUGAAUUGAAAUGAAAAUAUGUUUAAAAUGAAAUGCAUAUGAGUUAUGUGGAAAAACGGGAAGUGAAAUACCAUGCAUAGAAUUGAUAUGAAAAGUAUAUAGAAAUGUGAGUUGAAAUGCC